RNAcentral lists this ribosomal RNA (754 nucleotides) under uncultured archaeon. RNAcentral describes it as "bacterial SSU rRNA". It matches the Rfam family "Archaeal small subunit ribosomal RNA", at positions 102 to 859 of the family's 1478-position model. The record is from RNAcentral.
AGUCAACAUGCCCAAAGGACGUGGAUAACCUCGGGAAACUGAGGAUAAACCGCGAUAGGUCAUAAGUACUGGAAUGUUUUAUGGCUCAAAUCUACAUGGCCUUUGGAUUGGACUGCGGCCGAUCAGGCUGUUGGUGAGGUAAUGGCCCACCAAACCUGUUACCGGUACGGGCUCUGAGAGGAGGAGCCCGGAGAUGGGCACUGAGACAAGGGCCCAGGCCCUAUGGGGCGCAGCAGGCGCGAAACCUCUGCAAUAGGCGAAAGCUUGACAGGGUUACUCUGAGUGAUUCCCGCUAAGGGAAUCUUUUGGCAUCUCUAAAAACGAUGCAGAAUAAGGGGUGGGCAAGUCUGGUGUCAGCCGCCGCGGUAAUACCAGCACCCCGAGUGGUCGGGACGAUUAUUGGGCCUAAAGCAUCCGUAGCCGGUCUUGCAAGUCUUCCGUUAAAUCCACCUGCUUAACAGAUGGGCUGCGGAAGAUACUACCAGACUAGGAGGCGGGAGAGGCAAGCGGUACUCAGUGGGUAGGGGUAAAAUCCUCUGAUCCAUUGAAGACCACCAGUGGCGAAGGCGGCUUGCCAGAACGCGCUCGACGGUGAGGGAUGAAAGCUGGGGGAGCAAACCGGAUUAGAUACCCGGGUAGUCCCAGCUGUAAACGAUGCAGACUCGGUGAUGGGCCGGCUUCAUGCCGGCUCAGUGCCGCAGGGAAGCCGUUAAGUCUGCCGCCUGGGGAGUACGGUCGCAAGACUGAAACUUAA